Molecule: non-coding RNA, 5756 nt
Organism: Heterocephalus glaber (naked mole-rat)
Lineage: Eukaryota; Metazoa; Chordata; Mammalia; Rodentia; Bathyergidae
Source: RefSeq, a predicted model, not a curated record
CUCAGUUAUUCUGACAUCUGGCUCUAUACCCUUUUGUGAUCCUAUGAUGAGCUUCGAAGGGGCUCACAGUGGCAUAGGGGUGGGACUGAGGUCCAUUGGAGCCUCCAGCAAGGUGCUGAUGGAGGAGGAGCAAAUGCAGCACUUGUGUCCUGGUCUCAGAACCCACACCUUUGUAACCUCAGCAGAUGACAGUGUCUACACUCAGGGCUAUAUCACCUGGCUCUGUUGCUCUCUCUUCCCAACUGUGUGACUUUGGACAACUCUUAGUUUCCUCUUUCAAAUAAUAGAGAAAGUAAAGGUAUAUCAAUUAGUGUUCACUAGGGGAACAAAUUUAAUAUAAUAAAAUAUAUGAUUAUACAGCAUAUAAAAGAUUGACUUAGCAGGUGUACGAUCGCAGCCUAUGAAGUCAGAGAUGGAAGAAUGCAAAAAUGGCCGUUUGUGUACUAUAAAGCCAGAGGAUCCAGUUGAAGGUCAAAGUCUUAAAGCUCAGUGGAGAUUCCAGUGUGAGUCAAAAGGUCUGUGUUGCAAGGCUGAAAAGUCUGCACUGGAGGCCUGAACAAACUGGAGAUGAACAUCCGAAGGCAAUGGGCAAGGCUGGAGUGCCUCCAAAGAAGCAAAAAAGCUGAAGUAGCUAUAGAAGGUGGAAGAAGAGGUCUGAGCGCUUCCAGAGCAAGGCAGUUGCCAUUGUCCCCUGCAGUGCUGCUUCUGAUAACUGUGCUUACGCCUGAGACACGCAGCCUUUACCCAUACAGUUCUGGAGGUGAGAAGUCCAAGAUCGAGUUGUUGGCCUGACUGUGUGUGCUUCCUCGGGAGACUCAAGAUGCACCACUCUAGCCUCCUUUGUCUGCACAUGGCCGCCAGCCCUGGGACUCCGUGUGAAUCCCCUCUCCUUGGAAGGACAUUGAAGCUAUAUUUAGACCCCACCUGAAUCCAACAGAGCCCAAUUUCAUUUACUUAUGUAUUCAACAUCUGCAAAGAGUUUAUUUCCACAUAAGGCACCAUUCAUAUAUCUUUUUGAGGAACUCAACUAAUCUUCAACUUUAUUUUAUAGAUGACUAAGCCGAAGUUUAGAGCAGUGAUGUCAUUUGUCAGGUUUGAGUUUGUGAGAGGGCAGAAUUGGGAUUAAAAUCCCAUUCUGGCCAGGUUAGAGCCAGUGCUUCUCCUGCUCAUCCAUGCAAGGCCCCUCAGACUACUGGCAUCACCCUCCCCACAAGCCCUGCUCCAGAGCAUCCAGCUCAAUCCAUAUGGUCAAAGUCCUUCCACAACAAACUUAGGUUAGUACCCACAGGGUUUUGUUCUAACAGCUUCAGGUUACCAAUACCUCCUCUGUGGGAAGGUAACACUCUAAUGGGAAUCCUGGAUGGUGAAGGCAGCUUUACCUGGGCAGCCCUGGCCAUUGCACAGGCACUGAUGUAAAGGACUCUGCAAACCUCAGUCAAACCACGUCAUCAAAGAGGGCCUGUCAGGCACCAGUGUGCUUUCAGAAGUGGGAACAAAGGAGCAAUUGGCAUUGCUGUUCUGUUACUUGACCAGGUAUUCUAGUUAACAGGCAGGGAGACUAUGUCCUUGGAGCCACAGAACUAAUUGUAUUCUUUGAAGUAACCCUAAUCCUGAAACCACAAGAAUAACUAAGUGCAAGGCUUUUCUCCCUAUUUUGGCUCAUGACUUCUACUCUUCAUAGCCUUAAUUUGUAUCCCAAACUCCAUAGGCUCAUUAGCCUUUUUCAUAAGCUACUACUGAAUGCAAACAUCACCAUAUUCUGAUGCAACAGCCUCCCUCCUGUAUUAGUAUAAACAGUAGCAUUCUGAAUGAAAAUAUCCCUCUGCUGCCUCCACCUGUCAUUACCAAAGCACACAUGAAAGCCCCAGCAGGGUCCACAGUUCUUGCAGUUAUAUUACCCAAACCAGGAGCUUCUGGUACAAUAUAGAUUUUUAUAAUUGAAAACCCACUAACACAACAUAUAUCCUAUUCAUUUCUUAUGCCAUCCCUGUGAGGAUUAAUGAUAACAAGCUUUUCUUAAAAUCCCUUGAGGCAUAGCCACACAGCACUAGAGAUGGUGCUAUUCUGACCUAAACACCAUGAAGCUUUAUGAGAGUCACAGCCUCAGUUUCAUGUCACCAAUACUCUUCUGUUUUAGAAUCUCAAACUGUGAAUAAAUUCAUAGCUGAAUAAUAUUAUUAGUCUGUGGACUACAAAUAGUACUUCCCUUAGUAGCAGUGUGGUGGUUCUGGUUAAUUGAUCCCUGUCCCCAAGACCCUGGGGCUAGGAAUCAUGGACACGGUGCUGCCUCUUGGUUGCAGAGAGAAAAUUGCCUGAGGGUCCUCCAUUAUUUCCCAGAUUGCUCUCUAUACCCUAGUUUAUAAUCCUGGAAAGCUCCUGGGAGUUAAGAGGCUGAGCUUCCCCUGAGCUCUAUCUGAGUUAGAUUAAUUUUUAGUCAGGGUCCACACCCAGGGCAGAGGUAAGUGGCACAAAGGGAAGUGCUCAGGCCUUUGGACUGGCAGGGAUUUCCAUGUUCACAUUCUUCCCUCUUGUGUUCUGUGGCUUUUUGUGCUCUGUUAGGCAAAACAGGAGAGAUGGAUGCCCCCUCUCCCAAAAUAGGAUAUCAUGACAUACCAGGCCUAUUUCACAUUGUACUGGCUUCUCAAAUCCAGAGGGCCCCUGGAACCGUCUACAGUAGGGCUUUUAGAAAGGAUAUAUUUAAAAUAAAUGUUUCUCAAUUCAAAAAUAACCUUUUUUUUAAAAGUUAAAUUUCAGGGCUAGGGCUAUGGCUCAGUGAUAGAGUACUUGCUUCGAAUGUGUAAGGCCCUUGGUUCAAUCCCUGGUACUGGAAAACAAUUCAGUUUUUUAUAUGGGAAAAACAUCAUAGAGGUGUUUACUAGGCAUCUUGAACUUUCUAAUGCUGUUAGGUCUUGGAAUUCCCAGCUCCUUCUUUUCUUUCUUCUUUUGUAGAGCGAAUGGUGCACCAAAUAUGCCCCUUGGGAAAGUGUGGAAAUGAUUCCAUGCUUAUGUCUCAAGUAAAUAAACGUGUUGGGAGCAUAUAGAUUGCCUCAUUUUUCAUAUAAAAUGCACAUUUGUUUACAUACAGAUCAGUAUUACACAUGUAAUUUUUUUUGAGACAGGGUCUCGCUAUGUUGUUCAGGUAGUUCAGGCUGGCCUUGAGUGCACUAUGUAGCCCAGCCUGUCUUCAAACUAGCAGUGAUCCUCCUGCCUCUGCCUUCUGAGUGCUGGGAUUACAGGCAUGCACCCCCACACUUGGCUUUACACAUGUAAUUUCUCAAUGUUGUGGCCUCAGGAUCUAGUAUGGAAACUUAGAGAAUGCAGGAUGUAACAGUUAAAAAUGUGUUGGAUGCUUAGAGCCUAUGAAAUAUUUUCCCUGUAUAUUUAAUGGGACUUACUAAAGAAUCUCAAAAUUUAAGUAAGUGCUAUAUAAAUGAAUCUUAAAGAGAUAAAUGUCUUUUAAACAACAUGUAAAAAAUAAUUGUUUUAACAAAUGCCUUUAUGAUGUAAAUAAUUACAACUCAGUUUAGCGAAUCUGCUGAGCUCACUCGUUAUAGUGGUGUCAGUAGGUUCUCUAGUGGCUCUGAGGGAUUCAUGGGAGAGGAGAGAGCAAACCACGUCAGUGUGGAGACAGAACAAGACAAUAGCAAAAGACAAAUGUUUAAAGCAGCAACCAUGCAGCGAACUCACCAGAACCUUGGACUUUCACAUGGGAUCUUCAUUACUAUUCCUCUAGUUACAAAACAAGCUGGACAGCCAGAUUUAAGGUGCUAGAGAAAUGGAGACUAUGGCUCCCUCUGCUGAUCAACACAUUAAAAUUCUGAAAACAUUUGGUGCCAUUUAUUGAAAAGUUAAACACAUGGCAGUAAAGAAUAAAAUGAGUCCUGUCUUCCUUAUCCUCUCUAGAUUAAUGGAAAAUGUUAAAAUAAGAAUAACCACUCCAUAUAUUUUAGAAUACUAUGUAAAUCUUUGCCUCUAUUCCCCAUUUCAGUAAUAUGGGGCACAUCUGAAGAAGGCAAGGAGUGGGCUGCACCUCACACUGGCUGAGGAAGUCCAAUGUAUUUAAAUUCCUUAAAAACUCAAGAGCUUAGUAAGGAGUGACUGCAACUCCCUUUUGUAGGGAAUGGGCUGCAUCUCACACUGCCUGAGGAAAUUUGUUGUUUGUAUGACUGGUCACCCAACUCUAUCUCAGGCCCUUCCACUAACUAGCUGCCUUACUCAUAAACUAACUAAAUGAACCAUCUUCUAUAAAAGGAGGUGGUCUACUCCCAGGUGAAAGAGUCUAUUUGCAAGUAAAAAGGGAAGGGCUGAACCAAUUUGCAGGUAAGAAGGAAUUGCCCAGGCUUCUUGUAUUUUGGUAGAAAAGACAGGAAAAAAUUAAUCUGGGUUUGUGUUCUGAAGCUGCAGUUUUUAUUUUUAAAAUUGUGAUUUUUCCUGGCCUCCUUUCUACCUAUCUUUAUUUCUUCUAUCUCACUUCAGAAUCACUUAAAGUUCUCCACAUUGGGACCUCAUCAUCCAUAACAGUAUAGUUCCCACUCUGGGGAUAAUAGUCCUUACUAGAAUAAAUCUGAUCCAGUAUUUCUUUUGCUACCAGUGCCUCCCUUUCCUGGAGGAUUAAAUCCUUCCCUUGACCAGGGAUGUAGCUCAGUGGUGCCAUACCUGCCUGGCAAGCAUAAGGUCCAGUACCACACACACACACACACACACACACACACACACACACACACACAUAUACACAAACACACAUACACACACGCACAAACUGUUUUAUGUCUAAAUCCUUCCCUUGAUGUGUAAGAACUUUGACCACUUGUCUUUAACUUGAGACAGGAAAGUAGGGCAUGGUCAAGACUGGCUGAGAAAGGAAGUAUGAUGAGAUUUUGGAAUAUGUGGGUGGAAUAGUUCCCAAAGCCCUGCCUGUGGACUUCUCAUGGAAACUCGAGCAGGUUUUUGAUAGAAUGGCCUAGACCUGAUGUCAGCCUGAGGAGUGGGUGAUACAAAAAAGAUAGCCCACACUGAGUUUUUAGCCUCUGUGUCCUCUCUUGCAUGGUGGCCCACCUUCACGCUGUGUGGUUAUUUCUUUUCUUACUUUGCCCAGACUUGCUCUGCAGAGCCAGUUUCUUUUCCUACCUUUAAUAAAAUCUUGCUACCGCUUGUACUUGUCUUGACUUAAUUCUUUGCUCAGGGCAGAAAGAACCUAGAAACACCUCUAGAAGGAGACUCCACUAUCCCAGAAUCUGUAACAAAUCCAUCAGUUGCCAAACUCCACUGCACACCUUUACUUUAUGUCUAAUGGAAUCCUGUGAUAGUCAACCUGACUCCAUUUGUAUAAAGUCAAGUGAUUCUGGGUGGUCACCUUCCCCUUCCCCCAUGAGAGUCCCCUCAGUUAAUACAUGACAGACUGCCACAUCCUGUGUGAAUCUGCAACUAUGUUAUCUUUACUACCAUGUAAACAGUGUACUCUUUACCUGUGUAAGUUUGCAGCUAUGUUAUCUUUACUAUCUUGUAAACAGUAUGCUCUGCACCUGUGUGAUAUUUUCUUUCAAUUAAACUUUGUGAAACUUUCCUUGACCCCCACUAAUUUAGCAAAGUUCUGUUCCUGUGAAAUUAAACUUGCACACCCCCUCUCCCUGAGCCUUCCACAAUUAGAAGAGCCAUUUAAAAGGAUCCCAAAAGCUGCUUUUCCUUUGUCAAGAAUUUUUCUGGCAUGAGUCACUCUUGAUCACUGGCUUAUGACAAUAAUAAAGGACUCAACUUGA